GGCGAACGCUAGCGGUACGCCUAACACAUGCAAGUCGAGCGGGAUUUUUUUAGAAGCUUGCUUCUGAAAAACAAGAGCGGCAAACGGGUGAGUAACACGUUGGUACUUGCCCCUUGGUCAGGGAUAGCCCAUCGAAAGAUGGAUUAAUACCGGAUAGUCUCUUCGGAGUGAAGAUUUAUCGCCAAGGGAGAGGCCUGCGUUCUAUCAGCUAGUUGGUGAGGUAAUGGCUUACCAAGGCUAUGACGGAUAACUGGUCUGAGAGGAUGAUCAGUCACAAUGGAACUGAGACACGGUCCAUACUCCUACGGGAGGCAGCAGUGAGGAAUAUUCCACAAUGGGCGAAAGCCUGAUGGAGCGAUACCGCGUGAAGGAUGAAGGUCUAACGAUUGUAAACUUCUUUUCUGAGGGAGCAUAAUGAUAGUACCUCAGGAAUAAGGGACGGCUAAUUACGUGCCAGCAGCCGCGGUAAUACGUAAGUCCCAAGCGUUGCCCGGAA
This 496-nucleotide ribosomal RNA is filed under the name uncultured bacterium. Its description in RNAcentral is "bacterial SSU rRNA". It matches the Rfam family "Bacterial small subunit ribosomal RNA", at positions 28 to 550 of the family's 1533-position model. The record is from RNAcentral.